Molecule: signal recognition particle RNA, 96 nt
Filed under: Buchnera aphidicola (Aphis helianthi)
Lineage: Bacteria; Pseudomonadati; Pseudomonadota; Gammaproteobacteria; Enterobacterales; Erwiniaceae
Description: signal recognition particle sRNA small type
Rfam family: Bacterial small signal recognition particle RNA
About the family: The signal recognition particle (SRP) is a universally conserved ribonucleoprotein involved in the co-translational targeting of proteins to membranes. Archaeal SRP consists of a 7S RNA and homologues of the eukaryotic SRP19 and SRP54 proteins.
Source: RNAcentral
UGUUAGUCCUCAACACUGUUAAGUUGAAAAACGAGUCAGAUCUGGAAAGAAGCAGCUACAUCAAUGAAUGCAGGUGUUUUGUUAUAACUAACAGGA